This 417-nucleotide ribosomal RNA is filed under the name Limosilactobacillus reuteri. Its description in RNAcentral is "bacterial SSU rRNA". It matches the Rfam family "Bacterial small subunit ribosomal RNA", at positions 375 to 786 of the family's 1533-position model. Lineage: Bacteria; Bacillati; Bacillota; Bacilli; Lactobacillales; Lactobacillaceae. The record is from RNAcentral.
GCGCAGCCUGAUGGAGCACACCGCGUGAGUGAAGAAGGGUUUCGGCUCGUAAAGCUCUGUUGUUGGAGAAGAACGUGCGUGAGAGUAACUGUUCACGCAGUGACGGUAUCCAACCAGAAAGUCACGGCUAACUACGUGCCAGCAGCCGCGGUAAUACGUAGGUGGCAAGCGUUAUCCGGAUUUAUUGGGCGUAAAGCGAGCGCAGGCGGUUGCUUAGGUCUGAUGUGAAAGCCUUCGGCUUAACCGAAGAAGUGCAUCGGAAACCGGGCGACUUGAGUGCAGAAGAGGACAGUGGAACUCCAUGUGUAGCGGUGGAAUGCGUAGAUAUAUGGAAGAACACCAGUGGCGAAGGCGGCUGUCUGGUCUGCAACUGACGCUGAGGCUCGAAAGCAUGGGUAGCGAACAGGAUUAGAUACC